Cymbomonas tetramitiformis is the source of this 74-nucleotide non-coding RNA. NCBI's taxonomy places the organism in Eukaryota, Viridiplantae, Chlorophyta, Pyramimonadophyceae, Pyramimonadales, Pyramimonadaceae. The record is from the annotation of a GenBank genome assembly.
CUUCGCGUAGCUCAGUUAGUUAGAGCGUCGCACUAGAUAAGCGAACGUCACGGGUUCAAAUACCGUCGUGGAGC